This 459-nucleotide ribosomal RNA is filed under the name uncultured bacterium. Its description in RNAcentral is "partial 16S ribosomal RNA". It matches the Rfam family "Bacterial small subunit ribosomal RNA", at positions 338 to 795 of the family's 1533-position model. The record is from RNAcentral.
CCUACGGGUGGCAGCAGUGAGGAAUAUUGGUCAAUGGGCGAGAGCCUGAACCAGCCAAGUCGCGUGAGGGAGUACUGCCCUAUGGGUUGUAAACCUCUUUUGUCGGGGAGCAAAAGCCGGACGUGUAGCGUUAUCGAGAGUACCUGAAGAAAAAGCAUCGGCUAACUCCGUGCCAGCAGCCGCGGUAAUACGGAGGAUGCGAGCGUUAUCCGGAUUUAUUGGGUUUAAAGGGUGCGUAGGCGGAAUGCCAAGUCAGCGGUAAAAUCGCGGGGCUCAACCUCGCUCCGCCGUUGAAACUGGCGUUCUUGAGUGGGCGAGAGGUAUGCGGAAUGCGUGGUGUAGCGGUGAAAUGCAUAGAUAUCACGCAGAACUCCGAUUGCGAAGGCAGCAUACCGGCGCCCAACUGACGCUGAAGCACGAAAGCGUGGGUAUCGAACAGGAUUAGAUACCCGGGUAGUC